Molecule: long non-coding RNA, 521 nt
Filed under: Cucumis sativus (cucumber)
Lineage: Eukaryota; Viridiplantae; Streptophyta; Magnoliopsida; Cucurbitales; Cucurbitaceae
Description: long non-coding RNA (CSAT_LNC002936)
Source: RNAcentral
GCUUCUUCUUCCUCAGCAUCUGGGUUGUCCAUUAGCAAACUAAUGGUUUGUUCUUCAACGGGAGAUUUGGCUUCUAUUGUUGGCCUAGGGAAUUGGUUUGCCAAUGAUUGAACUGCAUUGUUGUUGGAGGAUGUGAUAGUGAUUUCCACCAAAGCUUCCUCACAUUGAAUAAUGGCAUUUGGGAUUUCUGGUUGUGAGUCGAUAGCUUCGACAAUUAUGUCUUUAGGAAGAGUUUCUUCUUCCAUUUUCCAUUGGAUCUUGACAUCAACCAAAUCAUCAGAAACAUUCUCGAGGAACUCCUCCGUGGACUUAUUGAUAAUUGUAUCAUCUUCUUCAGCUUGAACGGAACUUUUCUCCAUUUUUGUUUCCUUCUUGUCUCCUUCAAUGUCAGCAUCUGAUGCUACAUUUCCGGUUGUGGGAUCUGAUCAUUUUCAUCUUGAUCGUCUUUCACUUCCAAAGAUUCUUCAUCACUGCUCAAGGCAUCAUCUCCAUCAACUUCAGUUUCUUCUUCCACAUUUUCG